UACAGAGGUCCCAAGCGUUGUUCGGAUUCAUUGGGCGUAAAGGGUGCGUAGGUGGCGCCGUAAGUCGGGUGUGAAAUUUCGGAGCUUAACUCCGAAACUGCAUUCGAUACUGCGGUGCUUGAGGACUGGAGAGGAGACUGGAGUUCAUGGUGUAGCAGUGAAAUGCGUAGAGAUCAUGAGGAAGACCAGUGGCGAAGGCGGGUCUCUGGACAGUUCCUGACACUGAGGCACGAAGGCCAGGGGAGCAAACGGG
Molecule: ribosomal RNA, 253 nt
Filed under: uncultured bacterium
Lineage: Bacteria
Description: partial 16S ribosomal RNA
Rfam family: Bacterial small subunit ribosomal RNA
Source: RNAcentral